CUUGCUCUCUCAUCAUGGAAUCCAAAAGGGUCUCUUUAAGUGCUCUGUGCCACCAUUCUUCCUCUCCCUGCCCACUGAGACCAAAGCCUGGACUCCUUCCUGUUCUGGGCCAGGUGUUGUGAGUACAUUUACCUGGAGGAGGAGAGACAAGCAAACAGCCCAAGCCUUCAUUUUCUUGUCUGUGUGAAGAGAAGCUGGGGUCUGCCACCCCAGGCUCCCUCACCCUGCCUGCAUGGCCCUGCUCCACCGAGGGUCCCAGCCCACCACGGUCCCCGGAUGUCCCGCACACGCUGCUGCCUGGACUUUAAAGCAGGUGCUGCUGCUGCUGCUGUUGGCUGCCUUCAAUUAACAGAGCUCCUCCCUGUCCACCACCUUGAGCUCCUAAGUCCUGUAAACUUGAGACGCUUGGUCUUGGCAUGAAAAUUGUCUCCAAAAGUGUCCCAGAAUUGCUGCAAGAGUCCACUGAGAACCACAAUUCCACAGCCGUCUAUGGAGCACUUUACUCUAGGCAAAGGGGACACAGCGGUGAACAAAACAAAGGUCCCCGUCCUGGUGGAGGUGACAUCCUAGUAAGAGAGACAGAAACUAAGCAAGUGAAUAUGUCCAAAGUCAGGAUGGGAGUGGGGAUGAGGGCGAUGAAGGAAAAGUAAGGUGGAGGUGGGCUGGGGGUGUGGCUCAGUGGUGGAGCACUUGCCUAGCGUGUGCAAGGCCCUGGGAUUAGCCCCAGCACUGCUAAAUAAAUCAGUAGGAAAGAGAGAAGGGAGUGUAUCCUGGACAGGGAUUUGAAGAGUGCACACUGUUCUGUGAUAGGGUCAUGUAUCGGAAGUGAAUCAAGAAAGUGAAGGAUACGAGGUACAAUGGCACAGACCUGUAAACCCGCUUCUAGGGAGGUUGAGACAGGAGGAUCACAAGUUGGAGGCCAGC
Molecule: long non-coding RNA, 924 nt
Organism: Marmota flaviventris (yellow-bellied marmot)
Lineage: Eukaryota; Metazoa; Chordata; Mammalia; Rodentia; Sciuridae
Source: RefSeq, a predicted model, not a curated record